This is a long non-coding RNA of Daucus carota subsp. sativus, 684 nucleotides long. RefSeq lists it as uncharacterized. Lineage: Eukaryota; Viridiplantae; Streptophyta; Magnoliopsida; Apiales; Apiaceae. The record is from RefSeq and is a predicted model, not a curated record. The transcript is spliced from 4 exons.
AAAAUUUUGGUUAGGUUUUUUUGGUUUAGGUAUGUUUUAUUGACUUACCCAUUUUACCCCUCCUAAAAAAUACAUUCUCGAUAGAUAUCCAAGCAUCAGUCUCCCUCUCAAUCACCAGUACACUCGAAUUUUCCCUCUGUCUGUCUCUCCACCUCGGUGCUUAGUACCUUUGUUAAGCAGUUGAAGCAUCAAGAGAAGCAUCAAGAGAAAUACCGAGAUAAAAGACUAUACACAGAGGCAAGGCAAACAAAUAGCUUAAAGAGGAAGAAGCUUUCUUCUCGACUUCCUUAUCCUGCCUCAAUAGCUUUGGUGUUACUUGGAUGUGGCUUGGUGUACUCAUUGAUUGUUUUCGCAAAAGGAUCACCUUCAUCAGUCUUAGGGGCAAUAGCAAAGUCAGGGUUCACUGCUGCAUUCUCUUUAAUUUUUGUGUCUGAAAUUGGAGACAAGGUUAAUGGAACACGAUGAGGAGCGUUGGAAAAAAUUCAAAGAAGACCAGUGGAAACGUUUACGUGAUAUUGAAGAACAGAGCGUCCCGAAGAUGACGGAUUUGGAAAUUUUAGCUUGGAAACGCAGGAUUAAUCAUACAAUAGUAAAUACAAUUGUUGAUAGUUUCUUUGUAUGUGUUUCAUUCAUUUUUUAAGCUUGACAAAUUUAGUGAAUGAGGCUGGGGAUUUGAAGAUGGUA